CUACCAUAAAGAAAAUUUCCAGGUAAAAUUGGCUACAUUUCUGUUAACUUGCCUUACCAUUUUAUUGACACUUUAAUAAUUACUAAUGAUUUAUACUGUCUUAUCUAUUCCAUUGAGUUCUAUCUCAUUUCUCUUCUUUUUCAGAAUAUUCCCUCUGUAUACUUGCAUUUUUUUCUAUCAAUUGACGCUUACAAUUAUUUUUGCAAGUUGGAAAAAAAUGCAGUAUUAAUUUCAUUUGCAACAAAUUUAAUAGAUUAAUUAGGAGAGAAUAGAUAUCUUUAAAAUUGAGUCUUCUGUCCAACUGCAAGUUAUAGCUGAGGUGGUACCAGUUUAAGAAGUGAGAACUUCUUCACUGACUGAAAUUUGCAUAUCAAUCCAAAUCAUUGUGCUUAUUUACUAUUUUUGUAGACGUCAUUCUUCAAAAGUGCUGCAUCUUCAAUAGUCAAGGAGGACAAAGACAUCUUUCCUGCAGGUGGUGACCAUGUGGAUAAUAGGAUCAUAGACAAAUGGUGGUUCCAUCUACAGCAUCACCGAAAUGCUGUUGUUACUGCUUCUUUCUGGGAUCUUCUUGCAUCUUUGCUUCUAAAGGGGCACACCUUUUAUAGAAGUACGUCCAGGAAUAGAAGUGACCUGCUUUUUCGCAAGUAAUUGCCUGGAAUGUUUUUAUGUACUUCUCUGCACUCUCAAUACAUUUCAUGCUUCCCUCUAUUUUUGUAUAUUAACUCAUUGUAUUUCUUAAAUUUAUAUUUUACUUUAUGAAUGGAAGUGAGAUUUGUGUAUGGUAAAUAUAAUUAAUUCAACCCCAUGGAUACGUUAGUCACUGUCCAGAUGAUGGCAAGUCUUUCUCAGAAGCAGAGGGCCUUGGUGUGCCAGUGAUUUUUUUUCCCCAUGUGUAAGAUACUUUUUUUCCUCAUUUGAAUCAGGAGCCCACAGUUUUUAGACAAGUCCCAAAUGAAAUCUUAAGCAUUUGUGUUAUCUGGACUAGACCUUCUGUAGUAUCCUUUUUGUUAGACCUAGUAUAUCUCAUUGCAGAUCAGGAUCUGAGAUUGACUAUAGUUCACCUCUUUCCAAGUACACAAACUUGGAUGACAUGACAACUGAGUGUGUAAGGGAGAGCGAGACCCUUGCACUGCCAUUUGAGCCCUUGUGAUCUCAUCUUGUAGAACAUGUUGUACAAUCAUUUUAUUGGUAUCAUUAGUGUUAUUUGGGGCUGGAAUAAAAAUCUCAGUGCACCAAAGAGAUUUCCCCUUUAUCCACGUUACCCUGGUUUUCCUUUGUUUUCUGUUUAACCUAAACGGGCUUAAUAUAAAAUAGUGCUUAUUUGGUGUUUUAAUUGUCUGCUUCUAUAACAUAAGCUGCACUGUCCAUUGGGGAACUGCUCACCAUAUUGCCCAACCUGUCUUGAUAGGUUUAUACAUGGGAGGCAUUCAGUAAUAUUAAUUACCUCUCUAGACCAGUGUUAGCAAUAACAAACACUUGCUAGAAUUUUAAGACUAUAUAAUCAAUCACUUUGAUGUCAGUUAAUCCUACCAACACAAGAUUAAAGGUUUAAAAAUCUCAUACGUGUACAGCCAUUAGUGUCUCCUUUCAUACUAUAUUAUUUUGUUCAUUGGCAGCUAGAUUUUUAGGUAGAACUUGUGUUCCUUUUUGCAAUGCUCAUUUAUUUUACCUGGACAGAAGGUGCUCUUCUGUCUCUUCUCCAAAGUUAAUUUAUCUCAUACUAUUUCUUGUGUUAAUAUUUUCCAAGUUCAGUAUGCUGUUCUGGUUAUAAGAAGAUCAGUGUCCUAAUCACACACUUUUACAUUAUAUGAAACAUCAUACAGAGUUUUGUAGUCUGUAUAACAAUACACAGAGGUAGCAAAAUUUGUAAAAGAGCAGACUAUAUAGUCCAUACUGUAGUAACUACUCAACAUUGCCAUUAUACGUGAAAUCGGCUAUAACCAAUUCAUAAACAAAUGAAUUUGGCCGUGUUCUAGUAAAACUUAUUUACAAAAACAUGUGUUAGGCCAGAUUUGGACCACAGGCUGUAGAUUUCUGACCUCUGGCUUACAGCAGAAGUUUAUUAUGAUCCUGGGGAAGGUGGAUAUACAUGGAAGGCAGAAGCGAGAAGAUGUAUUCCAUCCCAUGUCAUUUUUCUGAACCCUCAACGUAGGAAGUUAAACUAAAACAUGGGGCAGAAUCUGCUUUAAGCCUUUGAAUUCUUGGCUCUUAAAGCCAGGUUGAGGGUUAUGUGUUUUUAUUCUUUUAUAUCUCCUUUUCACUUAGGCUUGGCAACUAGUUCAUUGAAACAGAGCCAACAAGAAUGAGUGAGUCACUCAGUGAUAUGAAGCAAGCUGUGGUCAUUUAUCUACUACCUUCCAUACCUACUUCCUAGGUUUGAUAAGUAGUGUUUGUAGUGUAGUUGUCAGUAACUUUUCUCAGCUUACAUAAGUUUAUGUGGAAUUCAUUUACAAAUGUGUGAUUAUUACGAUAGAUGUUAUUUUAUAAAUUUCAAGGUUCUUUAAUACAGCAUGGACAUGUUUCUAAAUCAAUAAAUAUAGCUUACCCACAGACUUUUUAUGGGAUGUAAAGUAUGUAUUACAACAGGUAAAUCCAUUUCUCUGUUUUGGGAAAGCAGGUUAAUGUUUUGUUUGUUUUGUUGCUGCAUAUAAUGUUGCACUAUAUAUAUAUUCUAAUGCAGUUGGUCUCCUAAUUCUACAGGAUAAAUGUCUAGCUGUGGCAUUGUUGGAUCAUCAGUUUCGUUUCAGUUAGAUGCUGUGAAAUUGCUCUUGAAAAUGGUGUCCUCUGCCACCACAGAACGGUGUUGUAAUGGAAGUGCCAAUUUUCAUAAAAACUUGUGUGCAACAGGUAUUAAGAAUUUUUGAGGUCGGGCGCAGUAGCUCACGCCUGUAAUCCCAGCACUUUGGGAGGCCUAGGCAGGUGGAUCACCUGAGGUCAGGAGUUCCAGACCAGCCUGACCAACAUGGUGAAAUCCCAUCUCCACUAAAUACAAAAAAUUAGCUGGGCGUGGUGGCAUAUACCUGUAAUCCCAGCUACUUGGGAGGCUAAGACAGGAGAAUUGCUUGAACCCAGGAGGCGGAGGUUGCAGUGAGCCGAGAUUGCACCACUACACUCCAGCCUGGGUGAUGAGCGA
This is a long non-coding RNA of Homo sapiens (human), 3133 nucleotides long. Ensembl annotates it as small nucleolar RNA host gene 14. Its record names the gene SNHG14. The record is from Ensembl. Lineage: Eukaryota; Metazoa; Chordata; Mammalia; Primates; Hominidae.